This 4852-nucleotide long non-coding RNA is filed under the name Homo sapiens (human). Its description in RNAcentral is "non-protein coding KCTD21-AS1:24". The record is from RNAcentral. Lineage: Eukaryota; Metazoa; Chordata; Mammalia; Primates; Hominidae.
ACUUUUAAGUUUUAUCAGCUAGUUCAUGCUUGCGUUGAAAGAGUGGUCGUUUGCGCUGGGUCAUCACUGUGUAGUAUUGGGGAUACUUAGGUGAGAAAAAAACUUAACGCUAGAGACGUUCACGCACUAGUGGAGAAGCCAGGAUUGUUGCCCUAGAGUUACAGUAGAUAAAAGUACCUCAGAGAACUGCGGGGGCUCCCAACCUGGACGCUUGCACCGGAGUAUUAAAUCCAGCUAGAGAAUGGCAUGUGCAAAGAUACAGAGCUACAGUCAAAUGGGCAGCUGAAGAUGAUGAUGAUGAUGAUCUUGACACCGAGAAGCAGAAGACCAAUGAAGAUGACCAGACAGCAAAAAAGGAUAAGUUAAAAGAAGCACUUUGGCUGGCCUGGAUUUCUUGCUUGGUGGUGGGACUAUGACUGUCCCUGAAGUCCUUAUGAUUGCCUUACCCUUGAUAUGAUCAUGAUUACUACAAAUAGCCUGUUCAUCAUUACCACUGGAUUUGUUCCUGAGCUGACACUUAACUGAGCCUUACCAGAACAUUCCACCAUCAUCUGCCAGGGUCUGUUUUAUUGCAGAAGCCAUAGAGGUGAUCUGAAUAGAGAUAUAAUGGGCAUAAACAGGCUUGUGUCCUCUAAGUCUGUUCUGAUGGUGUUAAUCUCUGCAGUUCUUUCUGGGAUGCAAUAUUGCUUCUACUGAUGGGGGCAGUGAAGUGUCUGGGUAACUUCAGGGGCUUCCACUUGGCCCUUUCUACUACAGACUCUUACUCGGCUGGAUGUGGUGGCUCACGCCUGUAAUUCCAGCACUUUGGGAGGCCGAGGCGGGCGGAUCACUUGAGGUCAGGAGUUCGAGAUCAGCCUGGCCAAUGUGGUGAAACCCCAUCUCUACUAACAUUAGAGACUACAAAAAUUAGCCGUGUGUGGUGGUGGCAUGCCUGUAAUUCCAGCUACUCAGGAGGCUGAGGCAGGGGAAUCGCUUGAACCCAGGAGGUGGAGGUUGCAGUGAGCCGGGAUCAAGCCAUUGUACUCCAGCCUGGGUGACAGAACAAGACUCUGUCUCAAAAAAAAAAAAGAUUCUUACUCCUCAGGUCAGAAAAACAACACAAGAAUUCUAAUAUCUGCUAAAUAUAUAUCUGCUGAUCUCUACUUCCAGAAACUGGGGAAUUAACCACAGGGUGGGUCCGUGAAUGCAUAGAACCAAUGUGAAAUGCAUUUGGGCUAGAAGUCAUUUUAUCACUUGGCUUUCAUCAUUCAAAUUCAUCAUCUAAAAAUGGGGGGCUGCAUGCGGUGCCUCACACCUGUAAUUCCAGCACUUUGGGAGGCUGAGGUGGGUGGAUCAUCUGAGGUGAGGAGUUCAAGACUCAUCCUGGCCCACAAUGCAAAACCCGUCUGCACUAAAAAUACAAACAUUAGCCAGGCGUGGUGGCGGGCACUUGUAGUCCCAGCUACUCGAGAGGCUGAGGCGGGAGAAUCACUUGAACCCAGGAGAUGGAGGUUGCAGUCAGCCGAGAUUGUGCCACUUCACUCCAGCCUGGGUGACGGAGCGAGACUCCCUGUCAAUAAAUAAAUAAAUAAAUAAAUAAUGGGGGUGACAGUUCUUAUCACUUACGGGUUUUGUGAGGAUUAAAUGGUAUGUGUAAACACCAAAACAGCUGUUGACACACAGUAGGUGUUCAAGAAAUAGUACUGUGAUAGGACAUUUUUCUACAGAAAUCCUGACUCCCGCUUUGGAUGAUUUCCUUGAAUCCUGAGUUUUUUGAAUUCCCCAAAUUGUCCUCCAUGGUACUACAUAGUCAUUAAGAACAAAGAUUUAGGAGCCAGAUCAUUGGGGUUUUGAAUCUUGGCUCUACCAGUCACUAGCUGUUGGAUGUUGGGCAAGUGGUUUAAUCUAUCUGUGAUUCAAUUUCUUUAAUCUAUAAAAUGAGAAAAAUUAUAUAUCUCACAGUAUUGUUUUGGUAAUUGAGUUAUUAUAUGGAAAACACCUAGAAUUGCCUGGCACAUAGUAAGCAGAAUGUAACUGUUAGCUAUUAUUAUUUUAUUGUUAUUUUUUGAGAUGGGGUCUCACUCUGUUGCCCAGGCUGGAGUGCAAUGGUGAGAUCAUGGCUUGCUGCAGCCUCAACCUCCCACGCUUAAGUGAUCCUCCCACCUCAGCCUCCCAAGUAGCUGGGACUACAGGUGCAUGCCACCACACCCAGCUAAUUUUUGUAUAUUUGUAGAGACAGGGUUUCACCAUGUUACCCAGGCUGGUCUUGAGUCCUGGGCUCAAACAAUCCGCACACUUUGGCCUCCCAAAGUGCUGGGAUUACAGGUGUGAGCCACCAUGCCUGGCCUAUUAUUAUUAUUAAUUGGCCAACACUACCACCUAGAAUUUCUUACUAGCUGGCUUUUUUUCCCCCAUCCGUUGCUUAGCUACAUAUAUCUCCCCUCUCACUCUUCUCUUUCUCCUUCCAAAUCAAAAGGUUACAGCCUGCUGGUGGCCAUUCUGACAGGCUGGGAAGCAUAGGCUCCAGUUAGAAGCCAGAAACAGGCUCUUCCUCUCCUUCCAAAUCAUACCUGGGGGACUCAGCUUUUCUGGGAAACGUAAUAAUAGAAACAUUUACCCAGCACUUACUCAGAGUAUUGUGCUAAAUUCUUUCCAUGGAUGAACUCUUAAUUUUCACAACAAUCUUAAGAGGUAGAUAUAAAUAUUAUGCCCACUUUAUAGAUAGGGAAAAUUACAGUUUCAGAGAGACAUGACAACUUACCUAAGGUCACAUUCUAGAAAUUGGUAGAGUUGGGAUUUGAGCCCAGGUUUGUGAUAUUCCCUAGCCUAUUCUAACCAUAGGAAUAUGGCAUUGCGUAGUAGUAAAUUUAUGCACUCUAGCAUCAGACUGUGUUCACAUGCUGGACUCACAGCUGUGACUUACUACUGCCUUGCCUACUUAAGUGGCUUCUGAAAAUAUUUGGCCUUUCCAUUGGAGAUGGAGACAAAUGUGGGCAGUAAUGUUUUUAAAUAGAGUUUUCCCCAAUACCCAACAUAGAAUCUGCCGCAGAGCAGAUGCCUCAUAAACAUUGGCUCAGAAAAUAAAUAUAUUCACGACACUAUUGUAGGCACGGUGUGGGUUACAAAGGCAGUUGAUUGAUUACUUAUUUAUUGCAAGGAAUUGGCUGUUUUGCUCGUCAGGGCUGGCUUGGCAAGUUAAAAAUCUGCAGGGCAAACCAGCAGGCUGGAAACUCAGGCAGGAGUGGAAGCAGCAAUCCACAGUAAGUUUCUUCCCCAAGGAAGACUUCAGUUUGGUCUUUAGGCCUUUACACUGAUUGGAUGAGGCACACCCAGAUUAUUGAAGACAGUCUCUUUUAUUCAAAAGUCAACUGACUGUACAUGUUAACCACAUCUACAAAAUACCAUCACAGCAACACCUAGAUUCGUGUUUGAUUAAUAAAGUAGGUACUAUAUCCUAGCCAUAUUGACACAUAAAACUAAACUUCAUGGUCAGACUUGGUGGCUCACGCCUGUAAUCCCAGCAUUUUGGGAGGCCAAGACAGGGGGAUUGCUUGAGUCCAGGAGUUGGAGACCAGCCUGAGCAACAUGGCAAAACCCUGUCACUACAAAAAAUUUAAAAAACUAGCCAGGUGAGGUGGCGGGAGCCUGUAAUCCCAGCUACCCAGGAAGCUUGAGCCCUGGCAGUCGAGGUUGCAGUGAGCCAAGAUCGCGUCACUGCACUCCAGCCUGAGUAACAGAGUGAGACCCUGUCUCAAAAACAGACAAUCAAAAAACUAAACUAAACUAACCUUCACUUAAUUUUUUCAAGUUCGUUUCAUCAGCUAUAAAAUUGAGAUACUGAUCCUUACCUCCUUACCUCCUAUAUGAAAAUGCACAUUAGGUAGCAGAACUUUGCAUGAAGCAGAGCAACAGGGCUUAACAGGUCUUAGCGCUCAGUCUACAAGAAUCAGUGGGGAGGCCGUUGCAAUGCUUUGACGAGCAGGGUUUGGUUUGAAUAAGAAUAUAUUUUUCCAACAUGGAUAUUUUGUAAUAUAAGCACAUGGGUGGCGGGGAAACAGUUCAAACUGGCAAUCAAUGAAGAGGUUGUCUCACUCUAGGCCUUUCCCUCAGAAGUAAUCGUUGCUGAUAGUUUCUGACUAUUUUUCCAGAAUUUUGUUCUAUAUGCAUGCACGCUCAAUGCCUAAUCACACUCAGCCUUUUGUCCCCUUGCACCUUGCUUUUUAAAUUUAAUGGUAUGUCUUGGAGAAUGUUCCAUUUCAGCAUGUACAAAUCUACUUCUUUUAAAAAAUGGCUGCAAAGGGCUGGGCGUGGUGGCUCACGUCUGUAAUCCUGGCACUUUGGGAGGCCAAGGCAGGCGGAUUGCCUGAGCUCAGGAGUUUGAGACCAGUCUGGGCAACACAGUGAAACCCCAUCAAUACAAAAAAAAAAAAAAAUUAGCCGGGUGUGGCAGCGUGUGCCUGUAGUCCCACCUACUCGGGAGGCUGAGGCAGGAGAAUUGCUUGAACCCAGGAGGCGGAGGUUGUAGUGAGCUGAGAUCACACCACUGCACUCCAGCCUGGGCGACAGAGCGAGACUCUGUGUCUUAAAAAAAAUUGGCUGCAAAGUAUUCCAUUGUGUUGUUAAAUACUAAUUUACUUAUUUAAUAAGUUCUCAACUGAUGGUAAUUUAGGUUACCAACUUUUUUGCUAUUAUAAAUAAUACAAGGGUAAACAUCUUUGUACAUACAUACAUGUUUGCAUAAUGUGUAAGAAGAGAUGUAAGAUAAAUUUCGAGAACUGGAAAUACUGCAUUAAAGGGUUUGCACAUUUAAAAUGUCAAUGUAUAGUGCCACUUUAUCUUUCAAAGAGAUUGCAUUAGUUUAUACCCAACCAAU